Molecule: ribosomal RNA, 473 nt
Filed under: uncultured bacterium
Lineage: Bacteria
Description: bacterial SSU rRNA
Rfam family: Bacterial small subunit ribosomal RNA
Source: RNAcentral
ACUCCUACGGGAGGCAGCAGUAGGGAAUCUUCCACAAUGGACGAAAGUCUGAUGGAGCAACGCCGCGUGAGUGAAGAAGGGUUUCGGCUCGUAAAACUCUGUUGUUAAAGAAGAACAUAUCUGAGAGUAACUGUUCAGGUAUUGACGGUAUUUAACCAGAAAGCCACGGCUAACUACGUGCCAGCAGCCGCGGUAAUACGUAGGUGGCAAGCGUUGUCCGGAUUUAUUGGGGCGUAAAGCGAGCGCAGGCGGUUUUUAAGUCUGAUGUGAAAGCCUUCGGCUCAACCGAAGAAGUGCAUCGGAAACUGGGAAACUUGAGUGCAGAAGAGGACAGUGGAACUCCAUGUGUAGCGGUGAAAUGCGUAGAUAUAUGGAAGAACACCAGUGGCGAAGGCGGCUGUCUGGUCUGUAACUGACGCUGAGGCUCGAAAGUAUGGGUAGCAAACAGGAUUAGAUACCCUGGUAGGAUAGCG